This 1092-nucleotide long non-coding RNA is filed under the name Lathyrus oleraceus (garden pea). RNAcentral describes it as "Pisum sativum (pea) long non-coding RNA (PSAT_LNC041379)". The record is from RNAcentral. Lineage: Eukaryota; Viridiplantae; Streptophyta; Magnoliopsida; Fabales; Fabaceae.
GUGAAAACUCAGAAAGAGAUGAACAGCGUGGCGUAUUUGGGCUCGAUCGGAAAGAAAGCGGUUGGUUGCGGCGGAACGGAGAACCGUAGAAUCAGAGUGUCGUUAUUUGGGCUCGAUCGGAAAGAAAGCGGUUGGAUCAAGAACGAGUUCGGCGUGGUUCUUGGGGCAUGGCCGGCGAUUCUGAUUUCGUUUGCGUGAUACUUGAGUGAACUGGCUGAACUCGCGUUUUUCUGGAGGCGUGCAGAUGGAUCUUGGUUCUUCAUGGAACCUGGAUUUGAGUUGGAGACUUGGGCCUUUGGCCCAAGCGAUUUCAAACUCUACACCUCCCUCUGUCUUACAUACCCCCAGACCCCGUUUGUUGUGGAUGUUUGUUGAGAUUUAGUCAUUAGGUUUUGAUAUUUCUUUCUUGUGGAUGUUUGUUGAGAUUAAUAUGGUUAGAUUUUGAUUUUACCAUGAUUUCCCCAUUAGGUUAAUUCUCAUUCAAUUGGACUAUUGUGUGAUUGAUUUGUAUAAUCAUGUAGUUUAGAUUCAAUUCUUGAAUUUGGAUUGUGAAUUUCACAUUUGAUUAAUUUCGAUUCUAAUUCAUGUUGGUUUAUGAUCAUUUUGAAUAAAUUGAACAAACUCACUUGAGCGUCGAAGCCAUGUUCAAAGUACAAAACAACGACAACAAAAUCUAGAAAUCUGGUGACGAAACUCAAAUCGACCAAAACCGGUUCUUACCCACAAAGACGUCGAGCUCCUAAUGCAACAAACUCGUGCAAGCAAACACUUGUGUUCGCGUCGUUGAUGAUGUUGAUUCGUGAUGAAAAACCUCGUGUUGGUGAUGACCCCGUUUUUCAGAUCGUGUUUCUUUGAGGAUGGACGAUGAAGACAGAGCUUCACGUUCUUGAUGAUGAAGAAUGAAGAUAAGGUUCUGCGUGUUGGCGAUUCAUGUACGUUAGCAAAGAAGAGUGAAGAUUGAAAGAUAACCUUCUCUCCGCAUCGACUUCCAAUGUUCUGGUGCGGUAUUCAGGUUCUUGAUCCUUCUCCCUUUCAAUCUUCUUCUUCCCGAUUCUGCUUUCUCUCAAUAUUGUGCAUGUGUCUCUGUUUUAU